UACGAAGGGGGCUAGCGUUGUUCGGAAUCACUGGGCGUAAAGCGCACGCAGGCGGAUUGAUAAGUCAGGGGUGAAAUCCCGGAGCUCAACUUCGGAAUUGCCUUUGAUACUGUCUAUCUUCGAGUUCGGUAGGGGAGAUCGGAAUUCCUGGUGUAGCGGUGAAAUGCGCAGAUAUCAGGAGGAACACCGGUGGCGAAGGCGGAUCUCUGGGCCGAUACUGACGCUGAGGAGCGAAAGCGUGGGGAGCGAACAG
This 253-nucleotide ribosomal RNA is filed under the name uncultured bacterium. RNAcentral's name for it is "partial 16S ribosomal RNA". It matches the Rfam family "Bacterial small subunit ribosomal RNA", at positions 524 to 775 of the family's 1533-position model. The record is from RNAcentral.